CUGUAACCCUGAGACCGGUGAUGUGAGCAAGCCUGGGCUGGCCUAAUAGAGAGGCCUUAUGCAGCAGGGCUGAGCCCAGGCAGCAGCCUGCCUAUGUCCAACCAGCCAAUUGCCAGACACGUGAGUGAGGUCAUCUUAGGCCAUCCAGCCCCAUUUAAGACCCUAGAGGACUACAGACACAUGAAUGACUCCAGGGAAGACCAGCAGCAGAACCACUCCGGUGACCUCAGCCCAAAUCGCUGAUCCAGAUUCAUGAGCAAGCCGUUAAGUCUGGCCAUGGUUUGUAACGCAGUGAUCAAUAACUGAUAUAGAAGAAAGCCAUCCUGAGGAUUUGACAGCAUGGGAAGGAGUUGAAGAAUCCAGAGAAACAGAACCAGGCUUUAUUGACCUACCCCUGAAGCUGCAUUACCUGUGGACCUUCAGUUACGGAAGUUACUGUGUUACCUUUAGUAUUCAAGCCACAUUGUUUGGGUUUUCUCUUACUUUCAAUAAGAGCAUUCUCACUGACAAGAACAAAAGGUCCUGCAGAGAGAGAAGACCACGAGAAGCAAAAAGCAGCAAGAUGACUGGAAAGAUUCAGGAAUUGGGAGCAGUGAAUAACUCAAAGUGCAGUGGAGGUUGGUGCUGAACAUCAGCAUUAGCUGACAAUUUGUAAAAGAAGCAGUUCCUGGCCAGGUGCCAUGGCUCACGCCUAUAAUCUCAGCACUUUGGGAGACCAAGGAGGGUGUAUCACGAGGUCAA
RNAcentral lists this long non-coding RNA (741 nucleotides) under Homo sapiens (human). Its description in RNAcentral is "HSALNT0388074". The record is from RNAcentral. Lineage: Eukaryota; Metazoa; Chordata; Mammalia; Primates; Hominidae.